This 450-nucleotide ribosomal RNA is filed under the name uncultured bacterium. RNAcentral describes it as "partial 16S ribosomal RNA". It matches the Rfam family "Bacterial small subunit ribosomal RNA", at positions 354 to 796 of the family's 1533-position model. The record is from RNAcentral.
GUGGGGAAUUUUGGACAAUGGGCGCAAGCCUGAUCCAGCAAUGCCGCGUGCAGGAAGAAGGCCUUCGGGUUGUAAACUGCUUUUGUACGGAACGAAACGGUCCGGGUUAAUACCCUGGGCUAAUGACGGUACCGUAAGAAUAAGCACCGGCUAACUACGUGCCAGCAGCCGCGGUAAUACGUAGGGUGCAAGCGUUAAUCGGAAUUACUGGGCGUAAAGCGUGCGCAGGCGGUUUUGUAAGACAGGCGUGAAAUCCCCGGGCGCAACCUGGGAAUUGCGCUUGUGACUGCAGUGCUGGAGUACGGCAGAGGGGGAUGGAAUUCCGCGUGUAGCAGUGAAAUGCGUAGAUAUGCGGAGGAACACCGAUGGCGAAGGCAGUCCCCUGGGCCUGUACUGACGCUCAUGCACGAAAGCGUGGGGAGCAAACAGGAUUAGAUACCCCAGUAGUCC